UACGUAGGGGGCAAGCGUUGUCCGGAAUCAUUGGGCGUAAAGCGCGUGUAGGCGGUCCGGUAAGUCCGCUGUGAAAGUCGGGGGCUCAACCCUCGGAUGCCGGUGGAUACUGUCGGGCUUGAGUACGGAAGAGGCGAGUGGAAUUCCUGGUGUAGCGGUGAAAUGCGUUGAUAUCGUUCGGAACACCAAUAGCGAAGGCAGGCUUCUGGGUGUCACCUGACACUGCUAGGACGAAAGCGUGGGGAGCGAAUGGG
RNAcentral lists this ribosomal RNA (254 nucleotides) under uncultured bacterium. RNAcentral's name for it is "partial 16S ribosomal RNA". It matches the Rfam family "Bacterial small subunit ribosomal RNA", at positions 524 to 776 of the family's 1533-position model. The record is from RNAcentral.